Molecule: ribosomal RNA, 468 nt
Filed under: uncultured bacterium
Lineage: Bacteria
Description: partial 16S ribosomal RNA
Rfam family: Bacterial small subunit ribosomal RNA
Source: RNAcentral
GAUGAACGCUGGCGGCGUGCUUAACACAUGCAAGUCGAACGGUGAACACGGAGCUUGCUCUGUGGGAUCAGUGGCGAACGGGUGAGUAACACGUGAGCAACCUGCCCCUGACUCUGGGAUAAGCGCUGGAAACGGCGUCUAAUACUGGAUAUGUGACGUGACCGCAUGGUCUGCGUUUGGAAAGAUUUUUCGGUUGGGGAUGGGCUCGCGGCCUAUCAGCUUGUUGGUGAGGUAAUGGCUCACCAAGGCGUCGACGGGUAGCCGGCCUGAGAGGGUGACCGGCCACACUGGGACUGAGACACGGCCCAGACUCCUACGGGAGGCAGCAGUGGGGAAUAUUGCACAAUGGGCGCAAGCCUGAUGCAGCAACGCCGCGUGAGGGAUGACGGCCUUCGGGUUGUAAACCUCUUUUAGCAGGGAAGAAGCGAAAGUGACGGUACCGGCAGAAAAAGCGCCGGCUAACUACGU